AUGUUGCAAAUAGACAGAAGUUUAAUGGUACCCCUCAGGGUAAACAAACUAAUUUCAAGCAUAAAUGAAAGCGCAAUGGGAAUAGGAGAUCUAGAUACCCAGUCAAGGGAAAAGGCACUUCAAAGCCCAGGUUUGAUAAAUCCAAGCUUUGCAACAAGUGUGGAUGCUCCACGCAUUCUAUUGAAAAGUGCACAAUGCCCAAGCAUCUGGUUAUGCUGUACCAGCAAUCUCAGGGAUGCAAAGCACCUCAAGGGAAAAGGUUUGAAGCUAACUUCAACCUUCAUCCGGAUAGCGCAGAAGGAGCUGGUGGUUCGCACGAUGUUCCUCCUGGACCAAACAACGUCGUGGUUCCUUAUCCGCCUGAGGCUACUACUGAAAUGGAGAACACGUUGA
RNAcentral lists this ribosomal RNA (393 nucleotides) under Triticum aestivum (bread wheat). RNAcentral's name for it is "partial small subunit ribosomal RNA". The record is from RNAcentral. Lineage: Eukaryota; Viridiplantae; Streptophyta; Magnoliopsida; Poales; Poaceae.